AACGUCUCAGUUCGGAUUGUAGUCUGCAACUCGACUACAUGAAGCUGGAAUCGCUAGUAAUCGCAGAUCAGAAUGUCGCGGUGAAUACGUUCCCGGGUCUUGUACACACCGCCCGUCACACCAUGGGAGCCGGUAAUACCCGAAGUCAGUGACCCAACCGCAAGGAGGGAGCUGCCGAAGGUGGAGCUGGUAACUGGGGUGAAGUCGUAACAAGGUAUC
Molecule: ribosomal RNA, 219 nt
Filed under: uncultured bacterium
Lineage: Bacteria
Description: partial 16S ribosomal RNA
Rfam family: Bacterial small subunit ribosomal RNA
Source: RNAcentral